This is an RNA transcript of Dunckerocampus dactyliophorus (ringed pipefish), 2879 nucleotides long. It is a transcript of the gene named activating transcription factor 7b, with no coding region annotated. The record is from RefSeq and is a predicted model, not a curated record. NCBI's taxonomy places the organism in Eukaryota, Metazoa, Chordata, Actinopteri, Syngnathiformes, Syngnathidae. The transcript has 13 exons.
ACACGCUAUGGGUUGGCAACUCUCGCGAGAGUUGGCCCGUGAGACUGUCAAGUGUCAACAACCAGGAGACGGCAGCACCUCCACCGCAGCAGAGCUGGUGUCCGGAGCUGGGAGGGGGCGCGACGAGGCAGCUGGAUCGUCGGAACUUGAGUGUGAGAUGGGGGAUGACCGCCCAUUUGUGUGCACUGCCCCAGGAUGUGGGCAGGGAUUCACCAAUGAAGAUCAUCUUGCUGUGCAUAAGCACAAACAUGAAAUGACAUUAAAAUUUGGUCCUGCCAGAACAGACUCUGUCAUCAUAGCAGACCAGACCCCCACUCCCACUCGCUUCCUGAAGAACUGCGAGGAAGUUGGACUAUUCAACGAGCUGGCCAACUCCUUUGAACAGGACUUUUGCAAAACGCAGGAUGAGGAGCACAGGACAAAAACCCUGGCUGCAGCUUUACAAUCACAAGGUGCAGCUCUGCAAACGCAAAGUGCGGCAAAGGAUGAAGAUGAGGAUCCUUUAGAAGUAGAUUCUUCUCCCCCUGACAGUCCAGAUUCUUCCUCCAGCAUGUCAGAUGACAGCAAAGAUUCGAGGGAGACCCUCACAAAGCCAAGUUCUGCCCCGACCUCAACCAUUGUACGUCCAGGUUCUCUGCCUCUACACCUGAGCAACGAUCCACUGCACCCUACACUGCCAUCGCCCACGUCUGUCAUCACGCAGGCUCCGCCCUCCAACCGACAGCUCAGCUCACCAACAAGCUCAUACCCCCUCGUAAGGCACCUCGCUAAUGGGCAGACGGUCCCUCUGCUGCCCAGUCCUAUUCAGCUAACGUCAGUCAUAUCUCUUGCAAGGCCUGGGAAUUCUGUGCCCAACAUCCCUGGCAUCCCAGGACCCCCAGUGGGCGGGGCCAGCAGUGGUUCAUCCUCCCCGUCAGGUUAUCAUUUGCAGUCUGAGACCAAGAUGCGCUUGAAGGCAGCACUCACUCAUCAUGACGGAGGUACUGGGGGGGUCGGAUCCUUCCCAGCUGUCCCCCAGAGGCAGGAACAUGGCCAGCAGCCCUCUCAAAAUUCAGAUGCACCAUCGCCUGCCCAACCACAGGUGUCCCCUGCACAGCCAACUGGGGGGCGGCGGAGGCGAGCCUCCGAGAUGGACCCUGAUGAGAGGAGGCAGCGUUUUCUGGAGAGGAACCGAGCAGCCGCCUCACGCUGCAGGCAGAAGCGAAAGCUGUGGGUCAACUCUUUGGAGAAGAAGGCGGAGGAUCUGGCCAGCAUGAAUGUCUCACUCACGAACGAAGUAACGGUGCUGAGGAACGAGGUGGCUCAGCUGAAGCAGCUUCUCCUGGCCCAUAAAGACUGUCCUGUCACCAUCAUGCAGAAGAAAGCAGCUUUCUUAGCUGCAGGAGGAGAGGAAUCGUCCAGGGAAAGUUCUACUGAAGCCGUGGGAUCCCCAGCAGCGGUUAUCCAACAUGGAUCCUCACCCUCCAGCCCGGGGCACACCACCAUCAACGGGAUGAGCGUCCGCGCCGCCGAGGCGGUGGCCAUGUCAGUCUUGGCCGGCAUGGGAUCGGGCCAGCCCGGAGGGGUCGUCAUGGUGACGCAGUCCCAGCCCGCCCCGAGAUGAUGUGCUGACGCAGGUAGCCAGCAGAGACUCCAGUGGCACUCGGAGGCCGGACAACCUGGGGAGCCUCCCUCCCUCCCACGCCCCUCCUACCGUCACGGCCAAUGAUAAUCACGCAAAGACAUCGGGCCACUGCUAGCCCCUCCCCUCUCUGUCUAUGUAAAUAUGAAAAGACAAGAAUGAAUGAAAAAACUAAGUCAGUCUUUUAUCACUUUUAGCAAUCCAGUGCCUGUCUCUGUGUGGCCCACAACAGACCCCUACCAGUCCCCUACCAGCCCCCUACCAGCCCAAGUGUGUUUUACUUGUGUGCUGUUUUCCCUCAUGUCUCCUGUCAUCUUCACCGUUAGCCCCAUUCAGUUGAACAAGACAACGACCAACAGCAAAUGUAAAAUAUCAAUGUAAUCAUAAUCACAAUAAUAGACUAGAACACAAAGAUGACCUGCAGGAUGCUUUUUUUCUGAGCCCGUUACAUGACAUUGGUGUUUAUGCAGUUGGCAUCCUCAUCCUCAUAUUUCUAUGAAAUAUGAAUCAUGUGACCUGUCAAAUGUACAGUGAACAACAGAGACACUCACAGCAUAUUGAAUCAUUACAAUAAGAAUAGAAGAUAAAUAUCAACUGCAUAGAUUAUUCAAACCACUUAGUUUGUCAUCCAUCCCUCACCUUUCACAUGAUGAAUGGAUGGAUGAAGUGUGAUAACGGUUAUCUUUACCAAAUAUUCAAUGCAUUUCAUGGUGAAAUAUAUUUUUAUAUUACGUUCUGCUCCACACUGUCAAUAUGCUUGACCUAUUUUUGGAUUCAUGCCGUUCAUACAUGUGCACAAGUGCUCGUGUGCUCAUGUGCACGUCCUGCUGGUGUUGUGCUUUUCUAUUGGUAGACAAGACGUAUUGUUGUGUAAGGUGCUUCUUUUCAAACCUGAUUCUUUUAUAACGAAUUGGACUUCCAAGACAGUCCCUCCACACCCACCCACAGUCACUGUCUCCUUGACAACCUGUCAUCCCCCCAUGUCUCUGCCCCAAUAAUGCCAUGUGAGCGGUCUUGUAUGUUUGCCAUGGCCAAAUGUCUCCAGGUUACAUUUGUAUUUGUUCAGAGGGACUUUCUCAAACACUCAGGCCUCAAGAUGGGAGGACAAGCAGGUGGACCAUGGGUGGAUGGAUGAAAACAAAUGAAGAUUGGUUAGGUGGACGAGUGAAUGAGUGAAUACAAAUGAAGAUUGGUCAGGUGGAAGGUUCACCCCACCCCACCCCACCCCCACCCCCAAAAAAGAGCUGCCACGUUGACA